RNAcentral lists this ribosomal RNA (487 nucleotides) under uncultured bacterium. RNAcentral describes it as "bacterial SSU rRNA". It matches the Rfam family "Bacterial small subunit ribosomal RNA", at positions 28 to 512 of the family's 1533-position model. The record is from RNAcentral.
GAUGAACGCUAGCGGCAGGCAUAAUACAUGCAAGUUGAACGGGAUUCAGAUAGCAAUAUUUGAUGAGAGUGGCGCACGGGUGCGUAACACGUAUGCAACUUACCUUAAACUGGGAGAUAGCCCGUGGAAACAUGGAUUAAUAUCCCAUAGUAUAAAGAACAGGCAUUUGUUUUUUAUUAAAGCUCCGGCGGUUUAAGAUGGGCAUGCGCGUCAUUAGCUAGAUGGAGAGGUAACGGCUCACCAUGGCAACGAUGACUAGGGGGUCUGAGAGGAUGUCCCCCCACACUGGUACUGAGACACGGACCAGACUCCUACGGGAGGCAGCAGUAGGGAAUAUUGGGCAAUGGACGCAAGUCUGACCCAGCCAUGCCGCGUGCAGGAAGACGGCCCUCUGGGUUGUAAACUGCUUUUAUCAGGGAAGAAACCCUUCUACGUGUAGGAGGCUGACGGUACCUGAGGAAUAAGGAUCGGCUAACUCCGUGCCAGC